CACGUCAGCGCAAUGUGCUGACUCAGCAAGAAAUCGCUUCCUCUAAGAUGCGAUUUCCUAUUGAGUCAACACAUCGCGCUGACGUGA
Gossypium hirsutum (cotton) is the source of this 87-nucleotide non-coding RNA. Lineage: Eukaryota; Viridiplantae; Streptophyta; Magnoliopsida; Malvales; Malvaceae. The record is from Rfam.